RNAcentral lists this ribosomal RNA (160 nucleotides) under Ulnaria acus. RNAcentral describes it as "partial 28S ribosomal RNA". The record is from RNAcentral. Lineage: Eukaryota; Bacillariophyta; Fragilariophyceae; Fragilariales; Fragilariaceae.
AACCAAACGCCCACAAGACUGCUUGCCCGCUUCUUCUUGACUUCGUAUCGUCCACCAAUUUUGCUUGAAAACACACAGAGUCCACACUCGCUAAAAUGUCACUUUCACAAACGGAGACACAUGCGUUCAGGGCUUGUGCAAAUGAUCACACAUUCUACUC